GGACGAUUAGCUCAGCUGGGAGAGCACCUGCCUUACAAGCAGGGGGUCGGCGGUUCGAUCCCGUCAUCGUCCACCA
RNAcentral lists this transfer RNA (76 nucleotides) under Desulfuribacillus alkaliarsenatis. RNAcentral's name for it is "tRNA-Val". It matches the Rfam family "tRNA". Rfam says of the family: Transfer RNA (tRNA) molecules are approximately 80 nucleotides in length. Their secondary structure includes four short double-helical elements and three loops (D, anti-codon, and T loops). Further hydrogen bonds mediate the characteristic L-shaped molecular structure. tRNAs have two regions of fundamental functional importance: the anti-codon, which is responsible for specific mRNA codon recognition, and the 3' end, to which the tRNAs corresponding amino acid is attached (by aminoacyl-tRNA synthetases). tRNAs cope with the degeneracy of the genetic code in two manners: having more than one tRNA (with a specific anti-codon) for a particular amino acid; and 'wobble' base-pairing, i.e. permitting non-standard base-pairing at the 3rd anti-codon position. The record is from RNAcentral. Lineage: Bacteria; Bacillati; Bacillota; Desulfuribacillia; Desulfuribacillales; Desulfuribacillaceae. RNAcentral also lists the same sequence under 8 other names.